ACUGCUAUCGGAUUGAUACUAAGCCAUGCGAGUCAUUGUAGCAAUACAAGGCAUACGGCUCAGUAACGCGUAGUCAACCUAACCUAUGGACGGGAAUAACCUCGGGAAACUGAGAAUAAUGCCCGAUAGAACACUAUACCUGGAAUGGUUUGUGUUCCAAAUGAUUUAUCGCCAUAGGAUGGGACUGCGGCCUAUCAGUUUGUUGGUGAGGUAAUGGCCCACCAAGACUAUUACAGGUACGGGCUCUGAGAGGAGUAGCCCGGAGAUGGGUACUGAGACACGGACCCAGGCCCUAUGGGGCGCAGCAGGCGAGAAAACUUUGCAAUGUGCGAAAGCACGACAAGGUUAAUCCGAAUGAUUUGUGCUAAACGAAUCUUUUGUUAGUCCUAGAAACACUAACGAAUAAGGGGUGGGCAAGUUCUGGUGUCAGCCGCCGCGGUAAAACCAGCACCUCAAGUGGUCAGGAUGAUUAUUGGGCCUAAAGCAUCCGUAGCCGGCUCUGUAAAUUUUCGGUUAAAUCUGUACGCUUAACCUACAAGCUGCCGGGAAUACUGCAAAACUAGGGAGUGGGAGAAGUAGACGGUACUCGGUAGGAAGUGGUAAAAUGCUUUGAUCUAUCGAUGACCACCUGUGGCGAAGGCGGUCUAACAGAACACGU
This 658-nucleotide ribosomal RNA is filed under the name uncultured crenarchaeote AM-20A_104. Its description in RNAcentral is "bacterial SSU rRNA". It matches the Rfam family "Archaeal small subunit ribosomal RNA", at positions 26 to 690 of the family's 1478-position model. The record is from RNAcentral. Lineage: Archaea; Thermoproteati; Thermoproteota.